GUGGCAGGAAAGUGGAAACAUUUCAUCCAACAUGAAGCCUCCUGGACUCCCUCUUCUGGACAUGAUAGAAAUUGCAGGCAUUAGUGCUCUAAUGAGGGUGCAUCAUUUCCACAUGCGGUCUUUGGAGAACAGGGUGACCGUGGCUGCAUCAGUGCCCUGUACAGUAUGAGGCAAUUCAUAUCAAAUAUGUUGUUUCAUUUUAUUCUAUUCAGUUUUUCGUACCUUGCAUCUUUGUACAUCUCCAGAUUCACUGUUAUUUUCUUGCGCAACAUUACAGGACUGAUCUGUUGUCAAUUACAGGAGAAACCUAAUGACUUUGGGAGCACUUUAGACUGCAACUACAGCUGCUGCUGAUUCAUGCUUGUCUUGCUUGGAUAUCAACCGGUAAAUUUAAAAUCCGAGGGUCACAUGUGGUUGUUGACAUAAACCUUGUAUCAUCAUUUCACAUGUGUGCUCUGACGUUUACCAUAAACUCCUGACUUCCAGCACAUUACAUUUUUAUAUUCUAUUUUGCGUAUUGCAUUGUCCUUCACUAAAAUCCUAUACACCACCUUCUAUUUGUCACUUUUCUCGAAUGUAUGUAAUAAUAAUGUUCCCAGACUCUCUAAAAGCUGAAAAAUCCAAGUCGCUUGUCACAAAUACGUUGUUUCUCUAAUGUGCUGUGUCUCUAUGUUUAAGAAUGCUGGCUCCAUUAUGGAGGAGUCUGGAAAGGGCUAGUCAAGGUUUUCUUUCAGACACAGUGUGAUAUUGUUUUCUGCCAAACCAGAAAUCAAGGCCUUGAACAGGCCUUCUUUAUGUCAGGGAUAGGGGUAGUGUAUUUUCUCUGACAGUUGCUUCUUUUAAGAUUAAUAGCCUUAUGAAAACCGGGUGUCCUCUAAAUGAGGCUCAAUAUCAGUCAGUGAGACCUCCGCAAGAGAAAUUUGGGCCAGAAUAUUAAUGUCACACAAAAAAAAUGUGUGUGCAGACAUCAAGGUUUUUACUACCUUGACAACAAGCAUUCUCAAUAACAAUGCUGUAGUUCCACUUUUAGUCAUAUUUGAACAAGAAAGUGUUUUUAUUGAUGCUGAAAUUGGACAAUCUGGUGUAGCACACAUCUUUAUUCAUAAAUAAAUUUAUAAUAAAUCAAUACAUUUUAUUUUUUUCAUCUCCAUAAGACCAUUAUUUGCAAACAGUUAGGUAUGGAAGAACCUAUAAGUAUUGACCCUAACCGCAUCGAACAUUUUGGUAUAAACUAGAACAGAGUCUGAAUAUCUCAGGUCCAGUAUCAUGACCUCUGACCUAAAUGCCUAAAUAAAGUAGUACCAACUGAAGUCUGUCGGUAGUACCAGGUACUGAUUCAAGUAACAUCAAACCAUACUUGCCAACCCUCCCGGAUUUUCCGGGAGACUCCCGGAAUUCAGUGCCUCUCCCGAAAACCUCCCGGUUUAAAUUUUCUCCUGAAAAUCUCCCAAAAUUCAGGCGGAGCUGGAGGCCACGCCUCCUCCAGCUCCAUGCGGACCUGAAUGAAGUGUCGACAGCCUGUUUUCACAUCCGCUUUCCCACAACAGCAUGUCUGCCCAAUGAUGUUAUGAGUGAAGUGAAGUGAAGUGAAUUAUAUUUAUAUAGCGCUUUUUCUCUAGUGACUCAAAGCGCUUUACAUAGUGAAACCCAAUAUCUAAGUUACAUUCAAACCAGUGUGGGUGGCACUGGGAGCAGGUGGGUAAAGUGUCUUGCCCAAGGACACAACAACAGUGACUAGGAUGGCGGAAGCGGGAAUCAAACCUGCAACCCUCAAAUUGCUGGCAUUGCCACUCUACCAACCGAGCUAAACCGCCCGUUAUAACUGUAGAAUGAUCGAGGGCGAGUUUUUGGUUUCUUAUGUGGGUUUAUUGUUAGGCAUUUUCAUUAAUGUCUUCCCAGCGCGGUAACAACACAUAACAACUGCAGUCCGUUUUCGUCUACCCUAAAGCCGUAAACAGCAAUGUUGUGACACUCUUAAACAGAACAAUACUGCCAUCUACUGUACAUGCAUAUGGUUAGAAAAACAAGGAUGGACAAUUCAACCCUUAACUCAACAAUGAGUAGAUGAGUGUUAUGUGUGUGUAAAUGUAAAUAAAUGAACACUGAAAUUUAAGUAUUUAUUUUAUUUAAAUAGGUUGUACUUGUAUAGCGCUUUUCUACCUUCAAGGUACUCAAAGCGCUUUGACACUACUUCCACAUUUACCCAUUCACACACACAUUCACACACUGAUGGAGGGAG
Molecule: long non-coding RNA, 2239 nt
Organism: Nerophis ophidion (straightnose pipefish)
Lineage: Eukaryota; Metazoa; Chordata; Actinopteri; Syngnathiformes; Syngnathidae
Exons: 3
Source: RefSeq, a predicted model, not a curated record